ACGUAUUAAAUAUCGCACUCCCAGGGCAUCUUAUACUAUUCUUAUAAUUAUUUCAUAAUUUUUAUUAUGAAUAAAGGUGCACCUAGAGCGUACACGCUGGGACCCGAAAGAUGGUGAACUAUGCCUGGUCAGGACGAAGUCAGGGGAAACCCUGAUGGAGGUCCGUAGCGAUUCUGACGUGCAAAUCGAUCGUCGGAACUGGGUAUAGGGGCGAAAGACUAAU
This 223-nucleotide ribosomal RNA is filed under the name Myrmeleon hyalinus. Its description in RNAcentral is "partial 28S ribosomal RNA". It matches the Rfam family "Eukaryotic large subunit ribosomal RNA", at positions 740 to 935 of the family's 3401-position model. Lineage: Eukaryota; Metazoa; Arthropoda; Insecta; Neuroptera; Myrmeleontidae. The record is from RNAcentral.